Molecule: long non-coding RNA, 306 nt
Organism: Danio aesculapii
Lineage: Eukaryota; Metazoa; Chordata; Actinopteri; Cypriniformes; Danionidae
Exons: 3
Source: RefSeq, a predicted model, not a curated record
CUCACGCUGCACAACUCUUUAGAUCUUCAAAGCCAGAAGAGGACAACAAAUCACAGCGUCUUGGGCUGAAGCUGAUGAGUGGUUACAACAUUUGGGCAACUACCAAAGCAUGAUACAGAACAAUCAACAUCAACAUUGUGGUGGAAAUGAACUGACUGCAUCCCACUCUGCCUUUCAGCUACAAAGGUGUCCUGGAGGCCCACAGAUGCAUCAAGUCCAAGAGCUUGAAGGAAGAUCGGCUCGUUUAACUCGACAACUAUGAAAGCCAUCCAAGGAAUGAUAUGAGCUCUUGGAGGAGGAGGGUGA